This 660-nucleotide ribosomal RNA is filed under the name uncultured marine bacterium. RNAcentral describes it as "bacterial SSU rRNA". It matches the Rfam family "Bacterial small subunit ribosomal RNA", at positions 823 to 1482 of the family's 1533-position model. The record is from RNAcentral.
UUGGGGGGAUUUACCCCUUAGUGGCGAAGCUAACGCGUUAAGUUAUCCGCCUGGGGAGUACGGCCGCAAGGUUAAAACUCAAAGGAAUUGACGGGGACCCGCACAAGCGGUGGAGCAUGUGGUUUAAUUCGAUGCAACGCGAAGAACCUUACCUGGUCUUGACAUCCUGAGAACUUUCUAGAAAUAGAUUGGUACCUUCGGGAACUCAGUGACAGGUGCUGCAUGGCUGUCGUCAGCUCGUGUCGUGAGAUGUUGGGUUAAGUCCCGUAACGAGCGCAACCCCUAUCCUUAUUUGCCAGCACAUCAUGGUGGGAACUAUAAGGAGACUGCCGGUGAUAAACCGGAGGAAGGCGGGGACGACGUCAAGUCAUCAUGGCCCUUACGACCAGGGCUACACACGUGCUACAAUGGGAAGGACAAAGAGCCGCGAAGCCGCGAGGUGUAGCUAAUCUCAGAAACCUUUUCGUAGUCCGGAUUGGAGUCUGCAACUCGACUCCAUGAAGUCGGAAUCGCUAGUAAUCGUAGAUCAGAAUGCUACGGUGAAUACGUUCCCGGGUCUUGUACACACCGCCCGUCAUACCAUGGGAGUGGGUUGCACCAGAAGUGGCUAGUCUAACUUUAUUGAGGACGGUCACCACGGUGUGAUUCAUGACUGGGGUA